GACGAACGCUGGCGGCGUGCCUAAUACAUGCAAGUCGAACGAACCGCGACUGAGUGCUUGCACUUGGUCAAGGUGAGUGGCGAACGGGUGAGUAACACGUGGGUAACCUACCUCAUAGUGGGGGAUAACAGUCGGAAACGACUGCUAAUACCGCAUAGGACAUAGGAUCACAUGAUCCAGUGAGGAAAGGUGGCGCAAGCUAUCGCUAAGAGAUGGACCCGCGGUGCAUUAGCUAGUUGGUAGGGUAAAGGCCUACCAAGGCGAUGAUGCAUAGCCGACCUGAGAGGGUGAUCGGCCACAUUGGGACUGAGACACGGCCCAAACUCCUACGGGAGGCAGCAGUAGGGAAUCUUCCGCAAUGGACGCAAGUCUGACGGAGCAACGCCGCGUGAGUGAAGAUGGUCUUCGGAUCGUAAAGCUCUGUUGUUAGAGAAGAACAGCGCAUAGAGUAACUGCUAUGCGUGUGACGGUAUCUAACCAGAAAGCCACGGCUAACUACGUG
RNAcentral lists this ribosomal RNA (502 nucleotides) under uncultured bacterium. RNAcentral describes it as "partial 16S ribosomal RNA". It matches the Rfam family "Bacterial small subunit ribosomal RNA", at positions 28 to 507 of the family's 1533-position model. The record is from RNAcentral.